This 251-nucleotide ribosomal RNA is filed under the name uncultured bacterium. RNAcentral's name for it is "partial 16S ribosomal RNA". It matches the Rfam family "Bacterial small subunit ribosomal RNA", at positions 103 to 354 of the family's 1533-position model. The record is from RNAcentral.
CGGGUGAGUAACGCGUGGAAAACCUGCCGUAUACUGGGGGAUAACACUUAGAAAUAGGUGCUAAUACCGCAUGAUGCGUUGGAGCCGCAUGACUCCGACGUCAAAGAUUUAUCGCUGGAAGAUGGCCUCGCGUCUGAUUAGCUAGUUGGUGAGGUAACGGCCCACCAAGGCGACGAUCAGUAGCCGGACUGAGAGGUUGGCCGGCCACAUUGGGACUGAGAUACGGCCCAGACUCCUACGGGAGGCAGCAG